GUAAUAUCCCUCGCUUUUGAAAAUUAUUAAUAAAGAUUUAUUUAUAAAUCAGAUGACCUAUAUGUAAAUAUGGAAAUUUCAAGGACUAAACUGUUAAGUUGUAAAAAGAAGAAAAUAAAGAAAACCGAAAAUUCGGUUUUAUCCCACCGCCUCCCACGAGAAACAGAGAGAAGCGGUGGGGCGUGGGGAGAAGAAGAAGAGAAGUAGAGGGAGAAGAGAAGAAGAGGGAAAAGAAGAGAGGAAGAAGAGGAAGAAGAGGGAGAAGAGAAGAAAAGAAGAAGUAGAAGAGACGGAAGAUGGAGAGGAGANN
RNAcentral lists this long non-coding RNA (310 nucleotides) under Musa acuminata (dwarf banana). RNAcentral describes it as "long non-coding RNA (MACU_LNC008498)". Lineage: Eukaryota; Viridiplantae; Streptophyta; Magnoliopsida; Zingiberales; Musaceae. The record is from RNAcentral.